Chinchilla lanigera (long-tailed chinchilla) is the source of this 765-nucleotide long non-coding RNA. RefSeq lists it as uncharacterized. NCBI's taxonomy places the organism in Eukaryota, Metazoa, Chordata, Mammalia, Rodentia, Chinchillidae. The transcript is spliced from 2 exons. The record is from RefSeq and is a predicted model, not a curated record.
UUAUCUGACUGUUUUCCCUUAGCAUGAUGCUUCCAAGGUUCAUCCAUGUGGUAGCAUGUAGAUAGCAUGUGUCAGAUUUCAGUCACCUGUAGUACGCUAGUGUUUUGUCUGCCCAUUGUUGCUUGAUAGACAGGUGUUUGGAUUGUUUCCCCUUUUGUGCUGCUAUGAAUAAUGCUGUUUUGGACUGUGUGUGUGCGGGUUUUUUGUGUGGACAUGUGCGAUCAUAUUUUUGGGCAUAUGUGUAGGAGUGGAGUUCCUGCAAGAGCCUCUGCCUUGAACCCGCGUGAGGAAGUUGUCGUUUCCAUUUUGCAGUGAGAAGAUUGAGGUCUCCAAGUGUGAAGCGCCCUUGGAGUGCCACACAGUGCAUGAGUAAUGGGAACAGGAAGGCUACUGCCAGGACCCUGACUCAGAAACUGCGUCCUUUCCACCAUGUUCCCCCUGGCUCUCACAUGAUUUCUUCUUGUGCCUUUGUUUGUCCCUCUUCUCAUCCUUGCUUGCGUUUAACGGAGGGCCGCUAGGCAAGGCAACCCGACCCUGAAAGAAGAUCCCAAAAUACCCUUAAGAUGACCUCUGCCUGCCAUGCUGUGAACAACUGUGGGUUUCAUCGAUUGAUUGACACGUGGUGUUUGCCUCUGGCGGAAUCAUCCACCCCAGUUCUCUCAUGGAUCCGGGUGCCUUCAGGAUGCUGUCUGGGGGGGGAGGUGAAUAGAGUUGGUGACUCGGGGCACAAUAGAAAUAAAAACACCACUUCACUUUUGCAGUGUU